UUAAGCGACUAAGCGUACACGGUGGAUGCCCUGGCAGUCAGAGGCGAUGAAGGACGUGCUAAUCUGCGAUAAGCGUCGGUAAGGUGAUAUGAACCGUUAUAACCGGCGAUUUCCGAAUGGGGAAACCCAGUGUGAUUCGUCACACUAUCAUUAACUGAAUCCAUAGGUUAAUGAGGCGAACCGGGGGAACUGAAACAUCUAAGUACCCCGAGGAAAAGAAAUCAACCGAGAUUCCCCCAGUAGCGGCGAGCGAACGGGGAGCAGCCCAGAGCCUGAAUCAGUGUGUGUGUUAGUGGAAGCGUCUGGAAAGGCGCGCGAUACAGGGUGACAGCCCCGUACACAAAAAUGCACAUGCUGUGAGCUCGAUGAGUAGGGCGGGACACGUGGUAUCCUGUCUGAAUAUGGGGGGACCAUCCUCCAAGGCUAAAUACUCCUGACUGACCGAUAGUGAACCAGUACCGUGAGGGAAAGGCGAAAAGAACCCCGGCGAGGGGAGUGAAAAAGAACCUGAAACCGUGUACGUACAAGCAGUGGGAGCACGCUUAGGCGUGUGACUGCGUACCUUUUGUAUAAUGGGUCAGCGACUUAUAUUCUGUAGCAAGGUUAACCGAAUAGGGGAGCCGAAGGGAAACCGAGUCUUAACUGGGCGUUAAGUUGCAGGGUAUAGACCCGAAACCCGGUGAUCUAGCCAUGGGCAGGUUGAAGGUUGGGUAACACUAACUGGAGGACCGAACCGACUAAUGUUGAAAAAUUAGCGGAUGACUUGUGGCUGGGGGUGAAAGGCCAAUCAAACCGGGAGAUAGCUGGUUCUCCCCGAAAGCUAUUUAGGUAGCGCCUCGUGAAUUCAUCUCCGGGGGUAGAGCACUGUUUCGGCAAGGGGGUCAUCCCGACUUACCAACCCGAUGCAAACUGCGAAUACCGGAGAAUGUUAUCACGGGAGACACACGGCGGGUGCUAACGUCCGUCGUGAAGAGGGAAACAACCCAGACCGCCAGCUAAGGUCCCAAAGUCAUGGUUAAGUGGGAAACGAUGUGGGAAGGCCCAGACAGCCAGGAUGUUGGCUUAGAAGCAGCCAUCAUUUAAAGAAAGCGUAAUAGCUCACUGGUCGAGUCGGCCUGCGCGGAAGAUGUAACGGGGCUAAACCAUGCACCGAAGCUGCGGCAGCGACGCUUAUGCGUUGUUGGGUAGGGGAGCGUUCUGUAAGCCUGUGAAGGUGUACUGUGAGGUAUGCUGGAGGUAUCAGAAGUGCGAAUGCUGACAUAAGUAACGAUAAAGCGGGUGAAAAGCCCGCUCGCCGGAAGACCAAGGGUUCCUGUCCAACGUUAAUCGGGGCAGGGUGAGUCGACCCCUAAGGCGAGGCCGAAAGGCGUAGUCGAUGGGAAACAGGUUAAUAUUCCUGUACUUGGUGUUACUGCGAAGGGGGGACGGAGAAGGCUAUGUUGGCCGGGCGACGGUUGUCCCGGUUUAAGCGUGUAGGCUGGUUUUCCAGGCAAAUCCGGAAAAUCAAGGCUGAGGCGUGAUGACGAGGCACUACGGUGCUGAAGCAACAAAUGCCCUGCUUCCAGGAAAAGCCUCUAAGCAUCAGGUAACAUCAAAUCGUACCCCAAACCGACACAGGUGGUCAGGUAGAGAAUACCAAGGCGCUUGAGAGAACUCGGGUGAAGGAACUAGGCAAAAUGGUGCCGUAACUUCGGGAGAAGGCACGCUGAUAUGUAGGUGAAGUCCCUCGCGGAUGGAGCUGAAAUCAGUCGAAGAUACCAGCUGGCUGCAACUGUUUAUUAAAAACACAGCACUGUGCAAACACGAAAGUGGACGUAUACGGUGUGACGCCUGCCCGGUGCCGGAAGGUUAAUUGAUGGGGUUAGCGCAAGCGAAGCUCUUGAUCGAAGCCCCGGUAAACGGCGGCCGUAACUAUAACGGUCCUAAGGUAGCGAAAUUCCUUGUCGGGUAAGUUCCGACCUGCACGAAUGGCGUAAUGAUGGCCAGGCUGUCUCCACCCGAGACUCAGUGAAAUUGAACUCGCUGUGAAGAUGCAGUGUACCCGCGGCAAGACGGAAAGACCCCGUGAACCUUUACUAUAGCUUGACACUGAACAUUGAGCCUUGAUGUGUAGGAUAGGUGGGAGGCUUUGAAGUGUGGACGCCAGUCUGCAUGGAGCCGACCUUGAAAUACCACCCUUUAAUGUUUGAUGUUCUAACGUGGACCCGUAAUCCGGGUUGCGGACAGUGUCUGGUGGGUAGUUUGACUGGGGCGGUCUCCUCCUAAAGAGUAACGGAGGAGCACGAAGGUUGGCUAAUCCUGGUCGGACAUCAGGAGGUUAGUGCAAUGGCAUAAGCCAGCUUGACUGCGAGCGUGACGGCGCGAGCAGGUGCGAAAGCAGGUCAUAGUGAUCCGGUGGUUCUGAAUGGAAGGGCCAUCGCUCAACGGAUAAAAGGUACUCCGGGGAUAACAGGCUGAUACCGCCCAAGAGUUCAUAUCGACGGCGGUGUUUGGCACCUCGAUGUCGGCUCAUCACAUCCUGGGGCUGAAGUAGGUCCCAAGGGUAUGGCUGUUCGCCAUUUAAAGUGGUACGCGAGCUGGGUUUAGAACGUCGUGAGACAGUUCGGUCCCUAUCUGCCGUGGGCGCUGGAGAAUUGAGGGGGGCUGCUCCUAGUACGAGAGGACCGGAGUGGACGCAUCACUGGUGUUCGGGUUGUCAUGCCAAUGGCACUGCCCGGUAGCUAAAUGCGGAAGAGAUAAGUGCUGAAAGCAUCUAAGCACGAAACUUGCCCCGAGAUGAGUUCUCCCUGACUCCUUGAGAGUCCUGAAGGAACGUUGAAGACGACGACGUUGAUAGGCCGGGUGUGUAAGCGCAGCGAUGCGUUGAGCUAACCGGUACUAAUGAACCGUGAGGCUUAACCU
This 2901-nucleotide ribosomal RNA is filed under the name Escherichia coli. RNAcentral describes it as "bacterial LSU rRNA". It matches the Rfam family "Bacterial large subunit ribosomal RNA". The record is from RNAcentral. Lineage: Bacteria; Pseudomonadati; Pseudomonadota; Gammaproteobacteria; Enterobacterales; Enterobacteriaceae.